RNAcentral lists this long non-coding RNA (1443 nucleotides) under Ananas comosus (pineapple). RNAcentral describes it as "long non-coding RNA (ACOM_LNC018148)". Lineage: Eukaryota; Viridiplantae; Streptophyta; Magnoliopsida; Poales; Bromeliaceae. The record is from RNAcentral.
GGACCUUUUGAUCGCUUAGUAAAUGAUGUCAAAAAAUUAUAAAAUUUGGUUUCUAGAUAGUUCCAAUAGGGUAGAUUAUACCUAACGGACCGAUCGUCGAAUCGGAUACCCUAUCAUCGAAAACAACUUACAAGCACGGAGGUCCCGGUACUUUCAUAUAUAUAUAUAGAGAGAGAGAGAGAUAGAGAGAGAGCUACGCUACUAUACUUUCGAAAGUACAGAGGCCUCCAUACUUGUAAGUUAUUUUCGAUGAUAAGAUAUCUGAUUCGGCGAUCGGUUCCGUUAGACAUGAUCUACGCUAUUAGAACUAUCUAGAAACCAAAUUUCAUAAAUUUUUGACUUUGUUUGUGUAGUGAAUGAGUAACCUCAAAAUAAACAGCUAAAAAUGAAAAUCUCAUAAAAAAUAGUGAUAAAGGACUCAAAUUUCAAAUCGGAAGUAUUGAUCUUGCUAUUGAUGUUAAGUAGAAUUUUCUAUUAAAUUUUCAUGUAAUUAGGAUACUUCUACACCAUUGAACUUAAAAAUGUCCCACAUUGGCCAUUAAAAUAGUCAUUUUUGAGACCUUUUGAUUGCUUAGUAAAUGAUGUCAAAAAAAUUAUAAAAUUUGGUUUCUAGAUAGUUCCAAUAGGGUAGAUUAUACCUAACGGAGCCGAUCAUCGAAUCGGAUGUCCUAUCAUCAAAAACAACUUACAAGUAUAGAGGUCUCCGUACUUUCAAAAGUACAGGAUUAUAUAGAAUUAGGCUACUAUACUAUCUAUAGUACCGGAGCUCCGGUACUAUAGUCUUGUUUUCGAUCUUAGGGUAUUCAAAUUAACGAUCCACACCGUUAAAUAUGAUCUAGGGUAUAUAAAGUUCUUAGGAAUAAAAUUUUAGUUUUUUUCGACAUCGUUUACUUAGUAAUAAAUUAUGUCAAAAUGGACGGUGAAAAUUGAAUAAUCUUUAAAAUUUGAGCAUAGGACUUUUAAAUUNGAUGAUCGGAUCCUUCAAUUUAAGAUCGGAGUUAUUGAUCUUUAUCUAUGUAGUGAAUAUAAUUUUCUAUCAAAAAUUCAACUGAUUUCGAUUCUUUUAUACCAUUAAACUAGCAAAUAUCCCAUACCGGCCGUUAAAAUUUGUCAAUUUUGUGACCUUUGGAUCGUAAGGUAAUGAUGUCGAAAAAUUAUAAAAUUUGAUUUCUAGACGUUUGAAAUGCUUUACAUAAUAUUUAACUGUGUGGAUCGUCGAUUCGGAAGCUUUAUCAUCGAAAACAACUUAUGAGUACGAGGGCUAUCGUACUCAUAAGAGUAUAAUUAGGGAUGUAAAUGGAUACGGAUACCCGAAUUUUAUCCGAAUCCAAACCCGAACGGGACGGAUUUUAUCCGAUGUAAAUGGAUAUGGAUUUGGAUAUGGAUAUAAAAAAUAAAAACCCGACGGAUAUGGAUUCGGAUAUGGAUAUUGACUGUAUCCGA